GUUUUGUUAUAAUUCCAUAUUAGAAAAGGAAUCUGCAAAAAAUGAAGUCUAAACACUGUCCAAACAGUCCAGUUCGCUGAGAAGUUUAAGUUUAUUACUCUCAAAAACAAAUUCAAUGGUGUACAAAACUGAUCAUCAUUCAUCCCUUGAGACUAUAACGUUCUCGUUUUUUGUUGAUCGAGCUCAAUAAUAAAUCAUUUAUCAUUUAUCAAUGAUACGUUUUUUCAAUAGCGAUUUACUUCAAUGUCAAACCAUGGUUGAACAAAUCGUAAAGCCAAUUUUAAUCUUUGCUUUUGGUUUAUCGCAAAAUCAAAUCUCUGUUUUCUGAUUGAACUUCAAGAACUUUUUUUUAAACUAUUAUUUUAUAGGAAUUAUUAGAUUUGUGAAAGCUGACAUCAAAUACGGACUUCUUUC
RNAcentral lists this long non-coding RNA (414 nucleotides) under Schizosaccharomyces pombe (fission yeast). RNAcentral's name for it is "non-coding RNA, poly(A)-bearing". The record is from RNAcentral. Lineage: Eukaryota; Fungi; Ascomycota; Schizosaccharomycetes; Schizosaccharomycetales; Schizosaccharomycetaceae.